AGAGUUAAAAGUACGUGAAAUUGCUAAAAGGGAAACAUUUGACACCAGUAUUUGGCGGGGGGAAAUCAGCCUCAGAAACUGGGGUGCACUUUCCUUCUGCCAGGUCAACAUCAGUUUUGCCUGCCGUAAAAAAGCCUAGAGAAGGUAGGUGCUUAGCACUGUUAUAGCUCUGGCCGAUGCGGUGGGCGGGACUGAGGACUGCGGCAUAUGCUUUUGGCUGGCUUCGCGGCAGUUGUGUUUGGGGGGUCUAUGGACAGCGUGCUGACCAUUGGCCUACUUGGAUGCACCUGCCGUACAAGUACAAAUGUGCCUAGGAUGUUGACGAAAUGGUUUUAAACGACC
RNAcentral lists this non-coding RNA (342 nucleotides) under uncultured fungus. The record is from RNAcentral. Lineage: Eukaryota; Fungi. RNAcentral also lists the same sequence under 1 other name.